GACGAACGCUGGCGGCGUGCUUAACACAUGCAAGUCGAACGGAAAGGCCCUGCUUUUGUGGGGUGCUCGAGUGGCGAACGGGUGAGUAACACGUGAGUAACCUGCCCUUGACUUUGGGAUAACUUCAGGAAACUGGGGCUAAUACCGGAUAGGAGCUCCUGCUGCAUGGUGGGGGUUGGAAAGUUUCGGCGGUUGGGGAUGGACUCGCGGCUUAUCAGCUUGUUGGUGGGGUAGUGGCUUACCAAGGCUUUGACGGGUAGCCGGCCUGAGAGGGUGACCGGCCACAUGGGGACUGAGAUACGGCCCAGACUCCUACGGGAGGCAGCAGGGGGGAAUAUUGCACAAGGGGCGGAAGCCUGAUGCAGCAACGCCGCGUGCGGGAUGACGGCCUUCGGGUUGUAAACCGCUUUCGCCUGUGACGAAGCGUGAGUGACGGUAAUGGGUAAAGAAGCACCGGCUAACUACGU
This 467-nucleotide ribosomal RNA is filed under the name uncultured bacterium. Its description in RNAcentral is "partial 16S ribosomal RNA". It matches the Rfam family "Bacterial small subunit ribosomal RNA", at positions 28 to 506 of the family's 1533-position model. The record is from RNAcentral.